This 75-nucleotide transfer RNA is filed under the name Rhodospirillales bacterium URHD0017. RNAcentral describes it as "tRNA_Pseudo_CTC". Lineage: Bacteria; Pseudomonadati; Pseudomonadota; Alphaproteobacteria; Rhodospirillales. The record is from RNAcentral.
GCCGCCGUCUUCAACGACCUAGGACGCGGCCCUCUCAAGGCUGAAACACGGGUUCGAAUCCCGUAGGGAGCGCCA